This 140-nucleotide ribosomal RNA is filed under the name Candidatus Saccharimonadota bacterium. RNAcentral describes it as "partial 23S ribosomal RNA". It matches the Rfam family "Bacterial large subunit ribosomal RNA", at positions 2776 to 2925 of the family's 2925-position model. The record is from RNAcentral. Lineage: Bacteria; Candidatus Saccharimonadota.
AGCAUAUUAAGCGCGAAGCCCACUCCAAGAUAAGAAUUCCCUAUGAACUCCCAGAAAGAAGAUCUGGUUGAUAGGUGCAAGGUGAAAGCACGGCAACGUGUGGAGCCGAAGCAUACUAAUAGAGUCAUUGCCUUUUUAUG